This 450-nucleotide ribosomal RNA is filed under the name uncultured bacterium. RNAcentral describes it as "partial 16S ribosomal RNA". It matches the Rfam family "Bacterial small subunit ribosomal RNA", at positions 354 to 796 of the family's 1533-position model. The record is from RNAcentral.
GUGGGGAAUCUUCCGCAAUGGACGAAAGCCUGACGGAGCAACGCCGCGUGAGUGAAGACGGCCUUCGGGUCGUAAAGCUCUGUUAUAUGGGACGAACGUAUCUAUGGCCAAUACCCAUAGAUAGUGACGGUACCGUAAGAGAAAGCCACGGCUAACUACGUGCUAGCAGCCGCGGUAAUACGUAGGUGGCAAGCGUUGUCCGGAAUUAUUGGGCGUAAAGGGCGCGCAGGCGGCCGGUCAAGUCUGUCUUAAAAGUGCGGGGCUCAACCACGUGAUGGGACGGAAACUGGCAGGCUCGAGUGUCGGAGAGGAAAGCAGAAUACCUAGUGUAGCGGUGAAAUGCGUAGAUAGUAGGAGGAAUACCAGUGGCGAAAGCGGCUUUCUGGACGACAACUGACGCUGAGGCGCGAAAGCCAGGGGAGCAAACGGGAUUAGAUACCCUGGUAGUCC